Molecule: ribosomal RNA, 617 nt
Filed under: Mycobacterium sp.
Lineage: Bacteria; Bacillati; Actinomycetota; Actinomycetes; Mycobacteriales; Mycobacteriaceae
Description: bacterial SSU rRNA
Rfam family: Bacterial small subunit ribosomal RNA
Source: RNAcentral
GGUCUAAUACCGAAUAGGACCGCGCGCUUCAUGGUGUGUGGUGGAAAGCUUUUGCGGUGUGGGAUGGGCCCGCGGCCUAUCAGCUUGUUGGUGGGGUAAUGGCCUACCAAGGCGACGACGGGUAGCCGGCCUGAGAGGGUGACCGGCCACACUGGGACUGAGAUACGGCCCAGACUCCUACGGGAGGCAGCAGUGGGGAAUAUUGCACAAUGGGCGCAAGCCUGAUGCAGCGACGCCGCGUGAGGGAUGACGGCCUUCGGGUUGUAAACCUCUUUCACCAGGGACGAAGCGCAAGUGACGGUACCUGGAGAAGAAGCACCGGCCAACUACGUGCCAGCAGCCGCGGUAAUACGUAGGGUGCGAGCGUUGUCCGGAAUUACUGGGCGUAAAGAGCUCGUAGGUGGUUUGUCGCGUUGUUCGUGAAAACUCACAGCUUAACUGUGGGCGUGCGGGCGAUACGGGCAGACUAGAGUACUGCAGGGGAGACUGGAAUUCCUGGUGUAGCGGUGGAAUGCGCAGAUAUCAGGAGGAACACCGGUGGCGAAGGCGGGUCUCUGGGCAGUAACUGACGCUGAGGAGCGAAAGCGUGGGGAGCGAACAGGAUUAGAUACCCUGGU